Zonotrichia albicollis (white-throated sparrow) is the source of this 577-nucleotide non-coding RNA. The record is from RefSeq and is a predicted model, not a curated record. Lineage: Eukaryota; Metazoa; Chordata; Aves; Passeriformes; Passerellidae.
CACCCAGGCUCCCCAGGGAAUGGGGAAUGAGGUGAAGCUGUUCCAGGAGAUGUUUAGGAUGGAUUUUAGGGAAAGGUUCUUCCUCCACAGAGCCCCCAGGGAAUGAGGUGAAGCUGUGCCAGGGAAGGUUUAGGAUGGAUUUUAGGGAAAGGUUCUUCCUCCACAGUGCCCAGGCUUCUCAGGAAAUGGGAUGAAACUGCCAGGGGAGGUUUAGGAUGGAUUUUAGGGAAAGGUUUUCCUCCACAGAGUCCCCAGAAAAUGGGAUGAAGCUGUUCCAGGGGAUGUUUAGGAUGGAUUUUAGGGAAAGGUUUUUCCUCCACAGUGUCCCCAGGGAAUGGGAUGAAGCUGUUCCAGGGAACGUUUAGGAUGGAUUUUAGGGAAAGGUUCUUCCUCCACAGAGCCCCCAGGGAAUGAGGUGAAACUGUGCCAGGGAAGGUUUAGGAUGGAUUUUAGGGAAAGGUUUUCCUCCACAGUGCCCAGGCUUCUCAGGAAAUGGGAUGAAACUGCCAGGGAAGGUUUAGGAUGGAUUUUAGAGCCCCCAGAGGGUGCUGGGCACACCCAGGCUCCCCAGGGAAUG